Molecule: ribosomal RNA, 750 nt
Filed under: bacterium
Lineage: Bacteria
Description: bacterial SSU rRNA
Rfam family: Bacterial small subunit ribosomal RNA
Source: RNAcentral
CGCCAAGGCGGCAGCUACCAUGCAGUCGAGCGGAUGAAGGAGCUUGCUCCUGGAUUCAGCGGCGGACGGGUGAGUAAUGCCUAGGAAUCUGCCUGGUAGUGGGGGACAACGUUUCGAAAGGAACGCUAAUACCGCAUACGUCCUACGGGAGAAAGCAGGGGACCUUCGGGCCUUGCGCUAUCAGAUGAGCCUAGGUCGGAUUAGCUAGUUGGUGAGGUAAUGGCUCACCAAGGCGACGAUCCGUAACUGGUCUGAGAGGAUGAUCAGUCACACUGGAACUGAGACACGGUCCAGACUCCUACGGGAGGCAGCAGUGGGGAAUAUUGGACAAUGGGCGAAAGCCUGAUCCAGCCAUGCCGCGUGUGUGAAGAAGGUCUUCGGAUUGUAAAGCACUUUAAGUUGGGAGGAAGGGUUGUAGAUUAAUACUCUGCAAUUUUGACGUUACCGACAGAAUAAGCACCGGCUAACUCUGUGCCAGCAGCCGCGGUAAUACAGAGGGUGCAAGCGUUAAUCGGAAUUACUGGGCGUAAAGCGCGCGUAGGUGGUUUGUUAAGUUGGAUGUGAAAUCCCCGGGCUCAACCUGGGAACUGCAUCCAAAACUGGCAAGCUAGAGUAUGGUAGAGGGUGGUGGAAUUUCCUGUGUAGCGGUGAAAUGCGUAGAUAUAGGAAGGAACACCAGUGGCGAAGGCGACCACCUGGACUGAUACUGACACUGAGGUGCGAAAGCGUGGGGAGCAAACAGGUAAACCC